Long non-coding RNA from Tachysurus vachellii, 691 nucleotides. RefSeq lists it as uncharacterized. NCBI's taxonomy places the organism in Eukaryota, Metazoa, Chordata, Actinopteri, Siluriformes, Bagridae. The transcript is spliced from 4 exons. The record is from RefSeq and is a predicted model, not a curated record.
UCUGUGGGGUGUGAAAUGGGCUUUUGCUAUAAUAGCAAUCUUUUUUUCGUGGAGCUUUAGUUACAUUUUGUGGCGAUUGCUGAGAGUUGGGAGCAAUACGACCCACUCAGACACAAUCUCAUUUGUAAAGGGUUCUACAUUUACAGGCUGUAAUAAUUGCAUGUCUAGUGUGGGUGAGUCUAAAGACAUGCCUCCAUCUGUUUUCCCAGUAGGAGUAAAUAUAGUAAAUAUCAAAUAAUAUGGUUGAUAUCUGCUGUUUCCUCCGGAUCCUUGGGUUUCCUUCCAGCAACCAGCAUUGUGAUGGAGUGUGUGAGUAUGUCUACAUAGUGAAUUGUGAUUGACUAGUGUACCAUUCACAGGUAGAAGUCCCAGCUCAUACCAGGAGAAGUCCCAACUCAUACCCAGUUUACCAGGAGUGGUUCUGAAUUUAGCUCCCUGUAAAGACAUAUAGACCCAUGGCUGCUAAAUAUUUAAAGACUGUUCCAAAGUGUCCAUCAAUCUGCUGGAGGUUAAAGAUCAUCGUUAAAAUGACUGCUGAGAGGGAGGGAGAAAGACAAAAAUGAGGGAUAGAAGCAAGAAGAUAAGGAGUGAGAAGAAGAGAGCACUGAACGAGAAGGAACCAUGUCCUCCUCUGGAAAGGAGGAGAUAGAAUGAGGACGGCCGUUCUGGAUUUAAAGACUGUCAUGUAUGC